This 4263-nucleotide unclassified non-coding RNA is filed under the name Sipha flava (yellow sugarcane aphid). RNAcentral describes it as "coiled-coil domain-containing protein AGAP005037, transcript variant X12". The record is from RNAcentral. Lineage: Eukaryota; Metazoa; Arthropoda; Insecta; Hemiptera; Aphididae.
GCAGUGCAGUGGCGGCGAAACCGAUUCAUCCGACUCCCGGCACCGCCGCCGACCGCGGACCGUCGAGCAGUUACGUGCGGGACCGGUUGCCGUGUCGGUCCGUCGUCGUGCCGUUCUUGCGCUCGCGCGUGCGAUAUAUAUAUAGUUCCGUCCGGUAUUUUUCAGCGUUAUCGUUUGCCUACCGCCCCGUGAUACUGUUUUUCGUGUUUCCCGUACGAUUCGCGCGAAUCCUGUUUCAUCCGCGAAGCUGUGCCGCGAGGGAUUGUCAGAACAAGUUGUUCCUCUAUGUGGUUUACUGGCCGAUAACGACGAAGUUGACGAAAAAGGAAAUCAACGGACCAUGGGACCGACCGUGGUGGCAGUGGCGGCAGCCGACUCGUCGGAAGGCGGCAGCAGCGGUGGCGGCGGCGCGAAAAAAAAAGGCAUAAGGCGGUUGUUGACGCCCGCCAUAUUCAGUAGCAACAAUAAGGCGGCGGACGUCAGUGGAGGAGCCGUUUUGCCGCCGGGGUCCGCGCAUCAAGUGGUCCACCGUCAGAGCAAGACUCUAAUCGAGACGGCGUUCGUCAGCAGCAACAACAACAACAACAACAAUAGUAACGGUCUCGACAACAACAGCAGCUCUGCCGGAAACGCGACGUACGGGUUGCAACAACAGCAGCAACAGCAGCAGCGCGUUCAGUACCUGCAAGGGACGAACCGACGCGCGAACCCGGCAAAUGAUUUCCGGUCUCGGAGUGUCAGUCCCGGAUCUUUCGACCGCGACGCGAACGCCAACUAUGGCGUCGGCCGCCGAGCGGACAGCGCUUGUUCACUAGUCUCGUCGUCGUCGUCCACAUGCGUGGCCGCCAUCCCGGAAUACUCGGGUGGUAGUCCUUCGUCGUCGGGCCGCCGGUCAGCUCCCAUAGUCCCGUACUCGCAGUACUACAACAACCGCAACGGCGGUUCGGUGCCGGCACAGCAACAGCAACGGCAAACGCGGCCGCAGCAGCAAAGGUUGUUGCUCAUGCCCGUCGGCGCCCAGGUCAAGAUCACCGGACCGUCAGCGCCGUCGGCCGCUGCGUACGCGUCCGCUCUCCGUCAGCAACAGCAACAGCAGGUCGUCAUCUACGGCAACGUGCCGGCGACCGCGGCCGAGAGGAGCCCGUUCGUCCGCGGAUUACCGCAUCGGGCCACCAUCGGGUGCGUUCGGGAAUCACCCAGCAGGCAGUCGACCAUCUACGAGACGGACGAAGACGCGGCCCCGGCUGACGGUGGUGGCCAGAAGAGGUUCCAGCCGAUUUUCAAACGAGGCGCCCUGCAAGCGCCCGCCGAAGAGCCGGCGGCCGUCGCGUUGGCUAGCCCGAAGAGGGUAAGCUUCUCGCCGCAGCCGUGUGCUGCAGCUCCGAGGUCACUGCAAUCCGCCGAACCGGCCGCGUACUGGCCCACCAAGAAGGGCCCGUCCCCGCAGCCGCCCACCAGGCGACGAACCGCUGACUCGCCGGUGGCUGCGGUUGCUGACCGGCCGCUGCCGCCCGUGCCCAAGAGGAGCCCGUCCACCUCGGCCAUUUACGGCACACUGCGCGGCUUCAAUGAAGGCCAGUCAAAACAACCACAGAUGAUUCAGAACCGAUGGUGUCCACCGUCUCCGCAGCAUCACUAUCAUCAAUCCGGGUCCGAGUCCGGCAGCGAGGCCGGAGAGGUACAGCGCAUACUGAACGUCAAAAACGGUCAUCUGGUCAUCGACGAUGAUUGGAGUGGUGACGGGAAAACCAGAGGGACCGUCGAACAAGCUGGUGAUGAAAUCCGUCGUGGCAGAUCUUCGAGGAGAGACGAUCCACGUCGGCACACAUUAUCUGGCGAUCAACAUCAUAACUAUCAACCAGCUCUGACAAGGUCUAUGGAUUUGGAGAUGGGAACAAAAACGCAACGGAAAAAAUCUCCUUCGUCUAGAGGAGGAUAUCCACCAGCUACUGGCAUGCUAUUUGAUGACGACCCAGGAAUAAUGUCUGAAGUGGAAACUAGUUCUACUGGGUUUCGAAGAGGGAACAAACAAAGGAGCUCAUUACCAGUUGUCCGAACCCCGUCAAAAACUUUAGAACGCCCAUUAGGUGACCCGAUGUUGAAUGAUGAAAUGGCUUUCCAUAAUAUGAUGACUCACUCACGGCAAAGUUUAGGUCUGGUAUUUCUGCAAUACCGUAGCGAAACAAAAAGAGCAUUGUUACCAAAUGAAAUUACUUCUAUUGACACGGUCAAGGCGCUGUUCGUUCGGUCUUUUCCUAAACAGCUCACUAUGGAAUACAUGGACUCAUCACUGGUGAAAAUCUAUAUUCACGAUUCAUCGAAAGAUAUGUUCUACGAACUAGAAGACCUCAGGUCACAUCUCAACGAUAUCCGGGAUAGAUCAGUGUUGCGACUUUUCGAAUCAGCCGAGGGCGGUCCUCUUCCCCAAGGUCUCACAAUAGCCGCACCCACGUGGGAUCAAGAUCAAUCGUACUUCAGCGAACCAGAAUUUGAUUCCGAGUACCAACAUCAGCAUAUACACAAAACCAAGGGAAGUAAAUGUACUAGCGGCGGCGCGCCAGGGCAACCGUAUUACAUGACCCAUCAGUUCCCGCCAGGAUCGUCGGCUACACUACCCAACAGAGGCCGGCCGCCCACCGGGUCCAUACCGGCCAGAACGUAUUCACCUGCCAUACCGCCUGUGGCUGCUAACAAAUCGUCAGGGUACAUGUCAUCACCAGAGAGGGCUGGCUCUCGAUCAGGAUACACAGCACCUCCAUAUAUGUCGCCUGGAGGUUCAUCAUUCGAUGAAAACUCCUAUUAUGGCUAUGGCCCCAGGACGGGGUCUAUCACACCCGUUAUCGACGAAGAAACCAGCGACAACGAGCUAAUGGAAGACCCGUUUAGUAUGUACACCGUGAAACCAUCGAUAUCCAAAAGAUCGACGUACGGCAACCCGCCGACCGUCCCUUAUGACGCUACCAGGAUACGUGUGGAAAACAUGGAAAGACAGAUCGCCAACCUAACGGGAUUGGUUCAGAAAGCCCUGACACACGCGCCGGUUGUUACAGCACCUUUCAGAAGUGCUAGUGAUGAGUUCGAUAAAGUCUCCAGCGGCAGUACCACAUCUCUGGCAGAGGAACCAUACAAGCGGUCUGACACUAAACCUCCUAAACUUGGACGAGACAAAUCAGUUUCAUUUGAGAAGUCCGUAUCGUUCAGCGACGAGCCACCUGACAUGAACUCGCCGAAACAACAUUCACCUCAGAGUUCAGCGGACACGAAACCUGCGAAACCGGCAAUUAAAUCGUCUACAUUGCCUAGAACAGCGUCUCAAGAAAAAGACAGAUUUAAGCCUCAUCCUCCACCUAAGCCAUCUGCCAUACCCGGCCAAUACGACGACAGGCAUUUGUACAGCGAUUUACAGCUCACACCAGAAAUGUAUAACCAGCUAAGAGUAUUACAGAAAAAAGCAAAAGAUUUGAGACAAGAAGCACGGAGCUUAAGACGAAUGUCUCAAGCACAAGCCCACUCCAUUCGUGAAACUAUUAAAGACACGUUCAUAAAAAUUAGAGCGUUGAUCGCUUCCGGCGCCGACCAGGCGUGGAGCGAAUCCGGAUCGAAAGAGAGGGCACGCGUGGACAGGGAAGAGGAUAUAUACAAACAGGAGAUUAUCAGGCUGGAAACCGACUUGACGGAACUCGAGAGCACGGUGGAAGAAUUGAGGGGAAACGUCAUUAACAAGAAGUCCCGAGUAAACAUGUCAGACGUGGAAAACAUGGCGCUUGUCCUCAGCAAAUCCAGUAAAACUGUUGCGGAAUUGAAACUGAAGUUUCCGAGUCUACAGGAAUCUAUCCGAAACGUAUUGACCAAGGAAAUGGACCGAGCCGUUACUGAGGAAAAGUUUCUCAAGGAUGAGCCCGAUCGACUCGAGAGCGCACUCAAACGAUGUAAAAAAUUAACCGGAACGCUUGUAACACUCAAGAGACUAGCAUCCGUACAAGAACAGCGUUUGCCCGAUCCCAGACUAUCACCGACUAAUGAAAACACUCCGCCAAUUACACCUACAUCGUCCGCCAAGUGUGUGAAUAACGCCUGCACGGAUAAUGUAGAUUGUGAACAAGUAUUGUAAUAUAUUUUUUCCGUGGACGUCCAUUGCAAAUUACUCGUCAUGUUUCAAUUCGGAUAGAUUUUGGGGAGUGUCGUUGGACAGGGGAGUGUCGUGGACCAGGCCGGAACCGGAUCAGACGGCGGUGCUGGAAAGCGCGAGCCAACAGGUACGGA